Molecule: non-coding RNA, 111 nt
Organism: Acanthosepion pharaonis
Lineage: Eukaryota; Metazoa; Mollusca; Cephalopoda; Sepiida; Sepiidae
Source: the annotation of a GenBank genome assembly
CCAUAUAAGCGUUGAAACCCCCCGGUUCCCGUACAAUCACCGAAGUUAAGCAACUUCGAGCCUGGUCAGUACCUAGAUGGGUGACCGCUUGUGAAUACCAGGUGCUGUAAG